RNAcentral lists this ribosomal RNA (253 nucleotides) under uncultured bacterium. Its description in RNAcentral is "partial 16S ribosomal RNA". It matches the Rfam family "Bacterial small subunit ribosomal RNA", at positions 524 to 776 of the family's 1533-position model. The record is from RNAcentral.
UACGGGGGGAGCAAGCGUUGUUCGGAUUUACUGGGCGUAAAGGGCGCGUAGGCGGUCGUGACAAGUCACUUGUGAAAUCUCCGGGCUUAACUCGGAACGGUCAAGUGAUACUGUCGUGCUAGAGUACAGAAGGGGCACUGGAAUUCUCGGUGUAGCGGUGAAAUGCGUAGAUAUCGAGAGGAACACCUGCGGCGAAGGCGGGUUGCUGGGCUGAUACUGACGCUGAGGCGCGAAAGCUAGGGGAGCGAACGGG